GUAAUGUCUGGGAAACUGCCUGAUGGAGGGGGAUAACUACUGGAAACGGUGGCUAAUACCGCAUAACGUCGCAAGACCAAAGAGGGGGACCUUCGGGCCUCUUGCCAUCAGAUGUGCCCAGAUGGGAUUAGCUAGUUGGUGAGGUAACGGCUCACCAAGGCGACGAUCCCUAGCUGGUCUGAGAGGAUGACCAGCCACACUGGAACUGAGACACGGUCCAGACUCCUACGGGAGGCAGCAGUGGGGAAUAUUGCACAAUGGGCGCAAGCCUGAUGCAGCCAUGCCGCGUGUAUGAAGAAGGCCUUCGGGUUGUAAAGUACUUUCAGCGGGGAGGAAGGUGUUGUGGUUAAUAACCGCAGCAAUUGACGUUACCCGCAGAAGAAGCACCGGCUAACUCCGUGCCAGCAGCCGCGGUAAUACGGAGGGUGCAAGCGUUAAUCGGAAUUACUGGGCGUAAAGCGCACGCAGGCGGUCUGUCAAGUCGGAUGUGAAAUCCCCGGGCUCAACCUGGGAACUGCAUUCGAAACUGGCAGGCUUGAGUCUUGUAGAGGGGGGUAGAAUUCCAGGUGUAGCGGUGAAAUGCGUAGAGAUCUGGAGGAAUACCGGUGGCGAAGGCGGCCCCCUGGACAAAGACUGACGCUCAGGUGCGAAAGCGUGGGGAGCAAACAGGAUUAGAUACCCUGGUAGUCCACGCCGUAAACGAUGUCUACUUGGAGGUUGUGCCCUUGAGGCGUGGCUUCCGGAGCUAACGCGUUAAGUAGACCGCCUGGGGAGUACGGCCGCAAGGUUAAAACUCAAAUGAAUUGACGGGGGCCCGCACAAGCGGUGGAGCAUGUGGUUUAAUUCGAUGCAACGCGAAGAACCUUACCUGGUCUUGACAUCCACGGAAGUUUUCAGAGAUGAGAAUGUGCCUUCGGGAACCGUGAGACAGGUGCUGCAUGGCUGUCGUCAGCUCGUGUUGUGAAAUGUUGGGUUAAGUCCCGCAACGAGCGCAACCCUUAUCCUUUGUUGCCAGC
RNAcentral lists this ribosomal RNA (1016 nucleotides) under Salmonella enterica. RNAcentral's name for it is "bacterial SSU rRNA". It matches the Rfam family "Bacterial small subunit ribosomal RNA", at positions 110 to 1122 of the family's 1533-position model. Lineage: Bacteria; Pseudomonadati; Pseudomonadota; Gammaproteobacteria; Enterobacterales; Enterobacteriaceae. The record is from RNAcentral.